UCGGGGAAGAGUGCUUCAUGGAGAGGGCACAGCAAGGGCAAAGCGCCUGAGGUGGAGCCGGCCGGCGGGGCUCUGGGAACAGCAAAAUGGCCAGUGCGACUGCAGCUGGGGCAGAAGAAGGGGAGAAGCCUCGGUAGGAGGUGGAGGCUUCGCAGUCUGAUCCCGUUGGGGGCGCGAUGAGUAUGGCUUUUGUCUGAAGUGUGAUGGGAAGCCUUUGGGGGAUUUGAAGACGGGGACAAAGCAAAAACGGUCUGAUUUGGGUUUCAAAAAGACCAUCUGGUGGCUGUGUAUAGAAGAGAAACCAAGACAGAAAAGCAUUAGGAGGUGACCAUGGGAGAACGGUGGGGAGAUGGCGACGGCUCGGUCACGGGGCAGGAGGCCCUCACCCCCUGCUCAUAGAGAUCCUCACCCUUGCAGCCACAGCUACAAGUACGACCAGCGGUUCCCUCCCCUGGGACAAAUUCUGGGCUCCAACAUGGCCUCCUUCACUCCUGCCACGAGGGAUCUGACCAGCCCUGAUCCCCAGAGGCCCUCAUUUCCCCCCAUUCUGGUCUCUGAGGAAGGACCACACAGCAGAGCACGGCAUCUGACUUCAGCAGGGGCUCCCUGAGACGCCAAGUGAUGCAACAGCCCAGAAGUGGGGAGAGGUAAGGCCUCCUGUGGACGGUUUGACCUAUGAGAGAAAGGAGAUGGGGGAUGCAGCAGAUACAUUUUUCUCCCUUCCUCUGUCUGGUGAGAUGUUCUCAGCAUGGUGAUUAUGCCUCGGAUGUGUCGAUGUCCUAUGCGAAUAAGAACCUGGCUACAACCUUUCUUGAAGCUGUGGACCACAUGGUGCUGCAUUCCUUGUGUUUGCUUCCUUUUCUUCUCUGUCCUUCUGUCCUUUUCCCGCACUCUCAUUGCCUCAAGACUGCACCUCCCAACAAGCCUGAUUGCUUAAGGGGUGCCUCACGCCUCAUUGUCUUGGGUGCCCCCAACCACGUGAUUCUAAUGGGCUCUGUCAACCAGUUCCUGUUCCCUCGUCACAGAGGUGGGCAUGUGUCCCCAGCGAGGCCACUGGAAGUCCUUACCUGGUGUCUUUUUAGUUGGGACUGAAGGAACAGUCUUUGAACCUGAAGAUGUGAGCCUGAGAACAGCUGGGGGCCAGCCCCAGGGAACAGGGAGGAAUCUGGCUGGGGGCAGGAAGCUGGCCUGCAGACAGAGGCAGAGAUGAGCAAUGAGAGCAUUCUGCGUCCAAUUGCUCCUGAGAGCCAGCUGCACCCCUGCCUGUCCACGGCUUCCUUCUGUGAGGCAGCACAUUCCUCCUCUUUCCUGGCUCGUUUGAAUUGGAUUUCCAUCAUUUGCCGUAUUAGUCAGGGUCCAGAUGGAACACAGAAGCCACUAGGAGUAUUUUACAUGGAGUUGAACACAGGGAACUGGCUGCCCAGAGAUGAGAGAGCUGAGAAACCAAACAGGAAUUAACAACACCAGGGAGCUGCUAACCCCCCUGGAGCUGGAGGGAUAAGGGGGCAGUGGCAUUACUGACAACCAGGACUGGGGCCACCCGGCAGAAGCUGAAACCAUGGGCAGCCCACGUGGUGGGAACUAGAGCCACAGAAUGGAGGCGGCCACUGUUGAGAUGCUGCCCAGAGCAGAAAGACAGGGGUAGGACUAGUGUGAGCUCACUCUUCCUUCUGCCCCUCAGCCUUCUAUCAUGCCUCUGUGUCAAAGCUGUCCCCAGGCAGAGGGCAAAGGAGCCUGGGAAUGAAGUUUUCUAUGAUGCAGAGCAGAGCAGAGCGGAGCCAGAGAGCGGGAGCAAACAGGCGAAUGGCCGACAUAUUGGUGGUCAAAGAGUCAGUUUAUUCCCCUGUGUUUGCUUUUGACUGUGAACCCCAAAGGGUACUGUGUCAUACCCUAGAAGUUCUUCAUAAAGGACCGGCGACGACAGCGGCUGUGUUGGCCGUCCCUGAGAGGUCCUGCUCCCUAGGAGGAAUGGUUCUCCUAGUAGGUGUUUUAAUGCCUCUACACCUGCAUGGGGAAUCCACAGGAAGUUGAGUUUAUUACUUAGGGACUCGGCUGAGCCGCGGUGAGAACCAGGGAGAGCCUCAGAAUUUCCACAGCCAGUAAUCUCCUUCCAGCACAGCCGAGGGGAGCAUCUCCUGGAGCCCCGCUUGGGCUGCUCAGAGCUGUUGGAGCGAUGCUGGGCACACUUGGAAGUUCUCCCCAGUGUCCAGCCUAAAUUCCUGUCUCUGAAUUGUCAGAGGACCUUGGGGACACCGGGGACGUGAGUGCCUCCUCUUAUCUAGGAGAUCAUUCAGGAUUUUGAAAAAAAGCAGGAAAAUAUUUUUGAAUUUGAACUGAGUGCUGACUUAGUGAAUUCUGAUGAUGUGGCAAAGGCUGGGCAGGGACGGGGGCAUGGGAGGGAUCUUAGACUCCAGAGUGACCGGAAUGAGUAACUGGAACUCGGCCAGAAAGUGGGGUUUGAGGUCCAGUUGUGCUCAGCAAAGAGGUUCCUGGGAACCUAAUGGGGACAAUUUGGGGUUUUGUGGCUCAUCUGAGCCGAGGUCGUUUCACAUGCGGGAGGGCAUGCAGCUCUCUACGCAUCUGUAUUUUAAAGUCAGUAAAAGGCCCCCCGAGGAAACCACACGGCGUUGGAUGGACGGGGUUCCAGUUCCGAAGCCUCUGCUUUCUGGCUUUCUUUACAAGAGGCUGUGGUGACCACUCCGGGUUGGGAGGCCAGGCUGCUGACCCAGCUUCUGGCUCCUGCCGAUGAUUCACUGUGGAUCCAGUGGACGGGUGGCGUGCGGGGCCUCGGCCUCAGUGUUGCCCUAGGCGGAGGGACGGGGGUCAGCGGGUGUUGAAAGAAGAGAUGAAAUUUUACCUUGGUGUUGUAGGUUGAAGUGUGUCCGCCUCAAAUUCCUGUGUUGAAGUCCUAACCCCUAGUACCCCGGAAUGUGACCUUAUUUGGUAAUAGGGUCUUUACAGAGGUGAACACGUCAUAAUGAGGUCAUUAGGGUGGGCCCCAAUCCCAUAUGACUGGUGUCCUUAUAAAAAGGGGAAAUUUGGACACAGACACCCACAGGGAAGACGAUGUGAAGAUGGCCAUCUGCGAGCCAGGGAGCCCUGGGGCGCAGUCUCUCUCACGGUCCUCAGAAGGAGCCAACCCUGCCAACUCCUUGGUUUGCCACUUCUCACCUCCAGCCCAAGCAAUGAAUGCCCUAGCCUAAUGUCUCUUCUCAUCAUGGAGGGUCAGGAGCAUCCCUAUUCCUUUUCCCCCCUCUCCUUCUUCUUUCCCAAUGCACUCUUGUAUCACCCUAGCAAACUCAGGUCAAAGCCCUGCAUUAUUUUCACCUAAAAAAUUUGUUGUCACUUCUGUGCCUUCAACUCUUCAAACUUCUACCCCCCCUUAAAUAUAGAAAGAAAUGCCUCUUCAUUGGUGUCAGGGGUCCAUCAACAAUAGGGAUGCAGGCGCAGAAGGAGGGAUGCAGGGGAGUCCAGGGAGGGAGGUGAGACCACGGGGACCAAGGGGAGAGGAUGCCCAUCACCACUUCUUCCCUGGAGAUCUGGAGGAAAAGUGGGCCACAGUCUCCGAGGCUUGACAAAAGGGCCGUUCUGCCUGAAGACAGAGUCGACGGAUGUGCGCACAGUCUGCCAGCACUCUCUACUUCUGCUCACUGAUGGGGAAGGAAAGACGGAAAGAAAGGCAUCUCUGAAUUGCUCUAUCUUCCCCUUUGAUUUCUCUGACAUCCUUUUCGGCAUAAAUAAAUGGUUGGCUCACAUAAGGAAUGAAGACAAGGAAGAAAG
Molecule: long non-coding RNA, 3780 nt
Organism: Equus quagga
Lineage: Eukaryota; Metazoa; Chordata; Mammalia; Perissodactyla; Equidae
Exons: 3
Source: RefSeq, a predicted model, not a curated record